UUAAGCGACUAAGCGUACACGGUGGAUGCCCUGGCAGUCAGAGGCGAUGAAGGACGUGCUAAUCUGCGAUAAGCGUCGGUAAGGUGAUAUGAACCGUUAUAACCGGCGAUUUCCGAAUGGGGAAACCCAGUGUGUUUCGACACACUAUCAUUAACUGAAUCCAUAGGUUAAUGAGGCGAACCGGGGGAACUGAAACAUCUAAGUACCCCGAGGAAAAGAAAUCAACCGAGAUUCCCCCAGUAGCGGCGAGCGAACGGGGAGCAGCCCAGAGCCUGAAUCAGUGUGUGUGUUAGUGGAAGCGUCUGGAAAGGCGCGCGAUACAGGGUGACAGCCCCGUACACAAAAAUGCACAUGCUGUGAGCUCGAUGAGUAGGGCGGGACACGUGGUAUCCUGUCUGAAUAUGGGGGGACCAUCCUCCAAGGCUAAAUACUCCUGACUGACCGAUAGUGAACCAGUACCGUGAGGGAAAGGCGAAAAGAACCCCGGCGAGGGGAGUGAAAAAGAACCUGAAACCGUGUACGUACAAGCAGUGGGAGCACGCUUAGGCGUGUGACUGCGUACCUUUUGUAUAAUGGGUCAGCGACUUAUAUUCUGUAGCAAGGUUAACCGAAUAGGGGAGCCGAAGGGAAACCGAGUCUUAACUGGGCGUUAAGUUGCAGGGUAUAGACCCGAAACCCGGUGAUCUAGCCAUGGGCAGGUUGAAGGUUGGGUAACACUAACUGGAGGACCGAACCGACUAAUGUUGAAAAAUUAGCGGAUGACUUGUGGCUGGGGGUGAAAGGCCAAUCAAACCGGGAGAUAGCUGGUUCUCCCCGAAAGCUAUUUAGGUAGCGCCUCGUGAAUUCAUCUCCGGGGGUAGAGCACUGUUUCGGCAAGGGGGUCAUCCCGACUUACCAACCCGAUGCAAACUGCGAAUACCGGAGAAUGUUAUCACGGGAGACACACGGCGGGUGCUAACGUCCGUCGUGAAGAGGGAAACAACCCAGACCGCCAGCUAAGGUCCCAAAGUCAUGGUUAAGUGGGAAACGAUGUGGGAAGGCCCAGACAGCCAGGAUGUUGGCUUAGAAGCAGCCAUCAUUUAAAGAAAGCGUAAUAGCUCACUGGUCGAGUCGGCCUGCGCGGAAGAUGUAACGGGGCUAAACCAUGCACCGAAGCUGCGGCAGCGACGCUGAUGCGUUGUUGGGUAGGGGAGCGUUCUGUAAGCCUGCGAAGGUGUGCUGUGAGGCAUGCUGGAGGUAUCAGAAGUGCGAAUGCUGACAUAAGUAACGAUAAAGCGGGUGAAAAGCCCGCUCGCCGGAAGACCAAGGGUUCCUGUCCAACGUUAAUCGGGGCAGGGUGAGUCGACCCCUAAGGCGAGGCCGAAAGGCGUAGUCGAUGGGAAACAGGUUAAUAUUCCUGUACUUGGUGUUACUGCGAAGGGGGGACGGAGAAGGCUAUGUUGGCCGGGCGACGGUUGUCCCGGUUUAAGCGUGUAGGCUGGUUUUCCAGGCAAAUCCGGAAAAUCAAGGCUGAGGCGUGAUGACGAGGCACUACGGUGCUGAAGCAACAAAUGCCCUGCUUCCAGGAAAAGCCUCUAAGCAUCAGGUAACAUCAAAUCGUACCCCAAACCGACACAGGUGGUCAGGUAGAGAAUACCAAGGCGCUUGAGAGAACUCGGGUGAAGGAACUAGGCAAAAUGGUGCCGUAACUUCGGGAGAAGGCACGCUGAUAUGUAGGUGAAGUCCCUCGCGGAUGGAGCUGAAAUCAGUCGAAGAUACCAGCUGGCUGCAACUGUUUAUUAAAAACACAGCACUGUGCAAACACGAAAGUGGACGUAUACGGUGUGACGCCUGCCCGGUGCCGGAAGGUUAAUUGAUGGGGUCAGCGCAAGCGAAGCUCUUGAUCGAAGCCCCGGUAAACGGCGGCCGUAACUAUAACGGUCCUAAGGUAGCGAAAUUCCUUGUCGGGUAAGUUCCGACCUGCACGAAUGGCGUAAUGAUGGCCAGGCUGUCUCCACCCGAGACUCAGUGAAAUUGAACUCGCUGUGAAGAUGCAGUGUACCCGCGGCAAGACGGAAAGACCCCGUGAACCUUUACUAUAGCUUGACACUGAACAUUGAGCCUUGAUGUGUAGGAUAGGUGGGAGGCUUUGAAGUGUGGACGCCAGUCUGCAUGGAGCCGACCUUGAAAUACCACCCUUUAAUGUUUGAUGUUCUAACGUGGACCCGUGAUCCGGGUUGCGGACAGUGUCUGGUGGGUAGUUUGACUGGGGCGGUCUCCUCCUAAAGAGUAACGGAGGAGCACGAAGGUUGGCUAAUCCUGGUCGGACAUCAGGAGGUUAGUGCAAUGGCAUAAGCCAGCUUGACUGCGAGCGUGACGGCGCGAGCAGGUGCGAAAGCAGGUCAUAGUGAUCCGGUGGUUCUGAAUGGAAGGGCCAUCGCUCAACGGAUAAAAGGUACUCCGGGGAUAACAGGCUGAUACCGCCCAAGAGUUCAUAUCGACGGCGGUGUUUGGCACCUCGAUGUCGGCUCAUCACAUCCUGGGGCUGAAGUAGGUCCCAAGGGUAUGGCUGUUCGCCAUUUAAAGUGGUACGCGAGCUGGGUUUAGAACGUCGUGAGACAGUUCGGUCCCUAUCUGCCGUGGGCGCUGGAGAACUGAGGGGGGCUGCUCCUAGUACGAGAGGACCGGAGUGGACGCAUCACUGGUGUUCGGGUUGUCAUGCCAAUGGCACUGCCCGGUAGCUAAAUGCGGAAGAGAUAAGUGCUGAAAGCAUCUAAGCACGAAACUUGCCCCGAGAUGAGUUCUCCCUGACUCCUUGAGAGUCCUGAAGGAACGUUGAAGACGACGACGUUGAUAGGCCGGGUGUGUAAGCGCAGCGAUGCGUUGAGCUAACCGGUACUAAUGAACCGUGAGGCUUAACCUU
RNAcentral lists this ribosomal RNA (2902 nucleotides) under Escherichia coli. RNAcentral describes it as "bacterial LSU rRNA". It matches the Rfam family "Bacterial large subunit ribosomal RNA". The record is from RNAcentral. RNAcentral also lists the same sequence under 1 other name. Lineage: Bacteria; Pseudomonadati; Pseudomonadota; Gammaproteobacteria; Enterobacterales; Enterobacteriaceae.